RNAcentral lists this ribosomal RNA (253 nucleotides) under uncultured bacterium. RNAcentral describes it as "partial 16S ribosomal RNA". It matches the Rfam family "Bacterial small subunit ribosomal RNA", at positions 524 to 776 of the family's 1533-position model. The record is from RNAcentral.
UACGUAGGGUCCGAGCGUUGUCCGGAAUUAUUGGGCGUAAAGAGCUCGUAGGCGGUUUGUCGCGUCUGCUGUGAAAUCCCGAGGCUCAACCUCGGGCCUGCAGUGGGUACGGGCAGACUGGAGUGCGGUAGGGGAGAAUGGAAUUCCUGGUGUAGCGGUGGAAUGCGCAGAUAUCAGGAGGAACACCGAUGGCGAAGGCAGUUCUCUGGGCCGUAACUGACGCUGAGGAGCGAAAGCGUGGGUAGCAAACAGG